RNAcentral lists this ribosomal RNA (1428 nucleotides) under Paenibacillus polymyxa. RNAcentral's name for it is "bacterial LSU rRNA". It matches the Rfam family "Bacterial large subunit ribosomal RNA", at positions 1492 to 2925 of the family's 2925-position model. The record is from RNAcentral. Lineage: Bacteria; Bacillati; Bacillota; Bacilli; Caryophanales; Paenibacillaceae.
GGACUGAUGGAUGUCCGUCUAAGCAGUGAGGCUGAUGUGUAGGCAAUCCGCACAUCGUAAGGCUGGGCUGUGAUGGGGAGCGAAAAUUACAGUAGCGAAAGGUCAUGAUCUCAGACUGCCAAGAAAAGCCUCUAGCCAGGAGAAGGUGCCCGUACCGCAAACCGACACAGGUAGGCGAGAAGAGAAUUCUAAGGCGCGCGGAAGAACUCUCGUUAAGGAACUCGGCAAAAUGACCCCGUAACUUCGGGAGAAGGGGUGCCUCGGUAGGGUGAAUAGCCCGAGGGGGCCGCAGUGAAAAGGCCCAAGCGACUGUUUAGCAAAAACACAGGUCUGUGCGAAGCCGCAAGGCGAAGUAUACGGGCUGACGCCUGCCCGGUGCUGGAAGGUUAAGGGGAGUGGUAAGCCUUCGGGCGAAGCUAUGAACCGAAGCCCCAGUAAACGGCGGCCGUAACUAUAACGGUCCUAAGGUAGCGAAAUUCCUUGUCAGGUAAAUUCUGACCCGCACGAAUGGCGUAACGACUUGGGCGCUGUCUCAACGAGAGAUCCGGUGAAAUUUUAAUACCUGUGAAGAUGCAGGUUACCCGCGACAAGACGGAAAGACCCCAUGGAGCUUUACUGCAGCUUGAUAUUGAAUUUGGGUACGAUCUGUACAGGAUAGGUGGGAGCCGUUGAAUCUUGAGCGCCAGCUUGAGAGGAGGCAUCCUUGGGAUACCACCCUGAUCGUAUCUAGGUUCUAACUUGGUACCGUGAUCCGGUACGAGGACAGUGUCAGGUGGGCAGUUUGACUGGGGCGGUCGCCUCCUAAAGAGUAACGGAGGCGCCCCAAGGUUCCCUCAGAAUGGUUGGAAAUCAUUCGAAGAGUGCAAAGGCAGAAGGGAGCUUGACUGCGAGACCUACAAGUCGAGCAGGGACGAAAGUCGGGCUUAGUGAUCCGGUGGUACCGCAUGGAAGGGCCAUCGCUCAACGGAUAAAAGCUACCCUGGGGAUAACAGGCUUAUCUCCCCCAAGAGUCCACAUCGACGGGGAGGUUUGGCACCUCGAUGUCGGCUCAUCGCAUCCUGGGGCUGAAGUAGGUCCCAAGGGUUGGGCUGUUCGCCCAUUAAAGCGGUACGCGAGCUGGGUUCAGAACGUCGUGAGACAGUUCGGUCCCUAUCUGUCGUGGGCGUAGGAAAUUUGAGAGGAGCUGUCCUUAGUACGAGAGGACCGGGAUGGACGUACCGCUGGUGUACCAGUUGUUCCGCCAGGAGCACCGCUGGGUAGCUAUGUACGGAAGGGAUAAGCGCUGAAAGCAUCUAAGCGUGAAGCCCCCCUCAAGAUGAGAUUUCCCAGUAAGUAAGACCCCUUGAAGACGACGAGGUAGAUAGGUUGGGGGUGGAAGUGCAGUAAUGCAUGGAGCUGACCAAUACUAAUCGGUCGAGGGCUUAUCCU